CUAGAUCUAACAUGAUAUUGCAGUAUUGCACUGAUUUUUUUGUCGCAGAGUUUCUCUAUGAAUGCCUAAAAGUUAAAGACACGUCAUGGAAUAAUUAUUUUCUUAAAGACCAAAUUAACAUAAUUCUUGACUCAUUUAUAAAACAACAUUUAUCAUAUAACAGCUCAUAUAUGAAUCAAUUACCUUGAGCAGUAGCAAACAAACAAGAAUCUCAACCACAUCACGAGAUCGCCCACGUACUGUUAUCCAAAACAACAUUGUUAUAAUUAUCAUAAUCCCUUCUGACCUUAACAAUAAUUCUAUUCGUCCUUUCAUAGGUAUAAGUAUCCCAAAAUAUACCUGAUGUCAACCUUUACAAUUCUUUAGAGAAUUGCAGCAGACCAAAAGAAAGAUUUUAAUAAUUUGUAUGCAAAACUGAAAUCAUACAGUAAUUGAUACAGUGAGAAUAGACAUGCUGGGAAUUAGUAUAUAUGAAUAUCUUAAUAAUUUAAAAGUUUCUUAAACUGAUUUUACAUAUCUGAAAAAUUAUAGAAAUCGGAACAGCUGCAGAAAUCAUAAUUUUCCAGCGAAUGUGUUACAAAUUCGGAAAUUCAUAAGUAAUUAAAUUCUUGGGAUCACAUAAUAAUUCAAUAGAAAGCUUAAGAUGUCUAGUUUAUAAAAUGAGAUGUAUGGAAUUUUUUUUUUUCAAUGAUAUGUAUGGAAUUUAAGAGAUUCAGCAGUACUUUCAUUAUAUUAAUUCUUCAAAAAAUCAUGUUGCAAACAAUCACCAAUCUAACAUUCAACAAAAUUAAGUCGUAAAAAUCAUGUGGUUUAUUAAAAGAAUUACCUCAAACAGAUUAGCCUUCCCCUUUCAAAAGCAGCGUGAAACUCCAAAAACUCUUCUUCCAUAACCCAUUCAAACAUGAAGAAACAAAUUAGUAUCUCUUCUUUAAAUGCGCGAUGUGUGUGCCCUGUUUUCUCUCUUAUUCUUUUUCUUUUUUAGAUUUUGAAAAUGCAAAGAAUGCAGGAGUCCUUAUUUUCUUAAACAAGACUCAAUUAAAUUAAAUUAUGGCCUAAUGCUGUGUCAAUUCCAUCAUCAGUAUUUUUUUUUUCCUUGUAACAUAAUCCAUAUUUGGACAAUUUGAA
Molecule: long non-coding RNA, 1125 nt
Filed under: Citrus maxima (pomelo)
Lineage: Eukaryota; Viridiplantae; Streptophyta; Magnoliopsida; Sapindales; Rutaceae
Description: long non-coding RNA (CMAX_LNC000237)
Source: RNAcentral